AUGGGUGUCUCUAAUUAUGUUGCGCUGGUGGUUGUUCUUCUAGUUGCAGCUGCCAUGUUCACCGUGCAGCUAGGUCUGGUCACAGCAGCAGCAGCAGGUAUCUGUCAAUAUUUCUCAUUUAAUUUAAUUUGGUGCAUAUAUCUGAUUCUAUAUAUUAACUCAUUAGUGUUGCAUUGCAUUGCUUGCAGUUGCAGAUGAUAAGAAUGUUAUUAUAAUUAAUAGGGAACUGAGAGAACGGCGACCACCUCCAUUUCGUCCAAAAUCACCACUUGCAAACCAACAACCAGGCAUGAGACUUCCUGCUCCCGAUCCUCCACCUCCUCCUCCUCCUCCCCCGCCCUCGCUUCCAAACAAC
This 355-nucleotide long non-coding RNA is filed under the name Prunus dulcis (almond). RNAcentral's name for it is "sRNA ncRNA". The record is from RNAcentral. Lineage: Eukaryota; Viridiplantae; Streptophyta; Magnoliopsida; Rosales; Rosaceae.